GACGAACGCUGGCGGCGUGCCUAAUACAUGCAAGUCGAGCGGGGAUUAUGCUUGAUCGCUUCGGUGAGACGGCAUAUAUCCUAGCGGCGGACGGGUGAGUAACGCGUGGGUAAUCUACCUCGUAGUUCGGGAUAACAGGCCGAAAGGCUUGCUAAUACCGGAUGAGUUCAUGCUUAUGCAUAUAGGCAUGAAGAAAGGGCUAGCCCGCUAUGAGAUGAGCCCGCGUCCCAUUAGCUUGUUGGUGGGGUAAUGGCCUACCAAGGCAACGAUGGGUAGCCGGCCUGAGAGGGUGUACGGCCACACUGGGACUGAGACACGGCCCAGACUCCUACGGGGGGCAGCAGUAGGGAAUUUUCGGCAAUGGGCGAAAGCCUGACCGAGCGACGCCGCGUGAGGGACGAAGGCCUUCGGGUUGUAAACCUCUGUCUGGGGGGAUGAGAACGGACGGUACCCCCGGAGGAAGCCCCGGCUAACUACGUGCCAGCAGCCCGCGGUAAUACGUAGGGGGCUAGCCGUUGUCCGGAAUUACUGGGCGUAAAGGGCGUGUAGGCGGUCGUGCCAGUCGGUUG
RNAcentral lists this ribosomal RNA (569 nucleotides) under uncultured bacterium. RNAcentral describes it as "bacterial SSU rRNA". It matches the Rfam family "Bacterial small subunit ribosomal RNA", at positions 28 to 594 of the family's 1533-position model. The record is from RNAcentral.